AUAUUGCACAAUGGGGGAAACCCUGAUGCAGCAACGCCGCGUGAAGGAAGACGGUUUUCGGAUUGUAAACUUCUGUUCUUAGUGAAGAUAAUGACGGUAGCAGAGGAGGAAGCUCCGGCUAACUACGUGCCAGCAGCCGCGGUAAUACGUAGGGAGCAAGCGUUGUCCGGAUUUACUGGGUGUAAAGGGUGCGUAGGCGGCUAGGCAAGUCAGAAGUGAAAUCCAUGGGCUUAACCCAUGAACUGCUUUUGAAACUGCUUAGCUUGAGUGAAGUAGAGGUAGGCGGAAUUCCCGGUGUAGCGGUGAAAUGCGUAGAGAUCGGGAGGAACACCAGUGGCGAAGGCGGCCUACUGGGCUUUAACUGACGCUGAGGCACGAAAGCAUGGGUAGCAAACAG
RNAcentral lists this ribosomal RNA (397 nucleotides) under uncultured bacterium. Its description in RNAcentral is "bacterial SSU rRNA". It matches the Rfam family "Bacterial small subunit ribosomal RNA", at positions 361 to 775 of the family's 1533-position model. The record is from RNAcentral.